RNAcentral lists this ribosomal RNA (397 nucleotides) under uncultured bacterium. RNAcentral's name for it is "partial 16S ribosomal RNA". It matches the Rfam family "Bacterial small subunit ribosomal RNA", at positions 523 to 918 of the family's 1533-position model. The record is from RNAcentral.
AUACGUAGGUGACAAGCGUUAUCCGGAUUUACUGGGCGUAAAGGGCGUGUAGGCGGUCUUGCAAGUCAGAAGUGAAAUUCCUGAGCUCAACUCGGGCGCUGCUUCUGAAACUGCAGGACUUGAGUGCUGGAGGGGAUAGCGGAAUUCCUAGUGGAGCGGUAAAAUGCGCAGAUAUUAGGAAGAACACCGGUGGCGAAGGCGACUAUCUGGACAUUAACUGAAGCUGAGGCGCGAAAGCGUGGGGAGCAAACAGGAUUAGAUACCCUGGUAGUCCACGCUGUAAACGAUGAAUACUAGGUGUAGGGGGUAUCGACUCCCUCUGUGCCGCAGUUAACACAAUAAGUAUUCCGCCUGGGGAGUACGGCCGCAAGGUUGAAACUCAAAUGAAUUGACGGGG